GUGCCAGCCGCCGCGGUAAUACGGGGGGGGCAAGCGUUGUUCGGAAUUACUGGGCGUAAAGGGCGCGUAGGCGGCCUACUAAGUCGGACGUGAAAUCCCUCGGCUCAACCGAGGAACUGCGUCCGAUACUGGCAGGCUGGAAUCCGGGAGAGGGAUGUGGAAUUCCAGGUGUAGCGGUGAAAUGCGUAGAUAUCUGGAGGAACACCGGUGGCGAAGGCGGCAUCCUGGACCGGUAUUGACGCUGAGGCGCGAAAGCUAGGGGAGCAAACGGGAUUAGAUACCCCAGUAGUCC
This 292-nucleotide ribosomal RNA is filed under the name uncultured bacterium. RNAcentral describes it as "partial 16S ribosomal RNA". It matches the Rfam family "Bacterial small subunit ribosomal RNA", at positions 505 to 796 of the family's 1533-position model. The record is from RNAcentral.